UCUACAGUGCCGCUUAAGUUGGUAGAGCGUCCGCCUCGGAUGCGGGAGGUCACGGUUUCAAACCCCGGCCGAGUCAUACCAAAGAU
Molecule: non-coding RNA, 86 nt
Organism: Potamilus streckersoni
Lineage: Eukaryota; Metazoa; Mollusca; Bivalvia; Unionida; Unionidae
Source: the annotation of a GenBank genome assembly